This is a long non-coding RNA of Humulus lupulus (European hop), 262 nucleotides long. RefSeq lists it as uncharacterized. Lineage: Eukaryota; Viridiplantae; Streptophyta; Magnoliopsida; Rosales; Cannabaceae. The record is from RefSeq and is a predicted model, not a curated record. The transcript has 3 exons.
UAUUCAACCUCAAGAACACCAAGGAAAACUUGGAGGCUAAGUCUUGGUGUAGGAAGUAUUUUUCCCUAAGUUGGUUAGGGUUUUUGAAAGGUUUUGGAGGAGCCAAAGCUAAUAGGAAGGUCCAAACCUUAAGCAAGAACACCAAAGAGGUAAGUGCAAGGGCAAGGCAGAGCAGUGAGCGCUGGAGUCUUCCUUGCAAAUGUACAUGUGGACCGACCUUUUGGGAAGCCGUUUUAUUUUUGGAAAUGUUGUGUAAUUUUCC